RNAcentral lists this ribosomal RNA (253 nucleotides) under uncultured bacterium. Its description in RNAcentral is "partial 16S ribosomal RNA". It matches the Rfam family "Bacterial small subunit ribosomal RNA", at positions 524 to 776 of the family's 1533-position model. The record is from RNAcentral.
UACAGAGACUGCAAGCGUUAUUCGGAUUCACUGGGCGUAAAGGGUGCGCAGGCGGUUGGGUGUGUCAGAUGUGAAAUCCCGAGGCUUAACCUCGGAACUGCGUCUGAAACUACUCGACUAGAGUACUGGAGAGGGAAACGGAAUUCACGGUGUAGCAGUGAAAUGCGUAGAUAUCGUGAGGAACACCAGAGGCGAAGGCGGCUACCUGGACAGUUACUGACGCUCAGGCACGAAAGCGUGGGGAGCAAAAGGG